AUUGGCUCCAAUCGGGGUCGAUUUAUAGAGCGGAGAGGAGGUCGCACCAUUUCAUCAACUUCUUCCGUCGUCCAACCGUUCACAGAAUUUAGGUCAUCGCGAGCCGAAAGUGCGGGUGUACGUCUUUGCGGCCUCG
Caenorhabditis elegans is the source of this 136-nucleotide non-coding RNA. Lineage: Eukaryota; Metazoa; Nematoda; Chromadorea; Rhabditida; Rhabditidae. The record is from Ensembl.